Molecule: ribosomal RNA, 119 nt
Organism: Ursus americanus (American black bear)
Lineage: Eukaryota; Metazoa; Chordata; Mammalia; Carnivora; Ursidae
Source: Ensembl
GUGUACGGUCAUACCACUCUGAACGCGCUUGAUCUGAUUUGAUCUCAGAAGCUACGCAGGGUCGGGCCUGGUUAGUACUUGGAUGGGAAACUUUGUUAAGGUGUCUGGCCAUGUAGGCA